Molecule: RNA transcript, 4367 nt
Organism: Bombus pyrosoma
Lineage: Eukaryota; Metazoa; Arthropoda; Insecta; Hymenoptera; Apidae
Gene name: formin-binding protein 4-like
Exons: 17
Source: RefSeq, a predicted model, not a curated record
UGAUUUAGUGAUCGAUAACCGUUGAAGAUGGGAGUAUGACUUUUCGUUGUAGUUUAACAUAACCUCUCUUUUGCAAUAUCUAAGAUCUUUAGAAGUUCUUAAGAUAUGUGUGAAGUGUACAGUACUGUAUUUUUAUACACUUCGUAAUUAUCAGUCGAAGUGUUCAGUCUAUGCUCUUUUUCAUACUUUGCAAUUGUUUAAGCAAAUAAGCGUAUAUUUUGAGGUUAUGAAUGACCUUUCUGUAUUGUUUAUGAGAAAAUACAUUCUCGUUUUAAAUAUAUUUUUAUUAUCUGUAACAUAUAUAACUUAUAUUUUAUUAUGAAGCGACGUCAAAGAAGGCCUGUUUUAGAACUUAAUCAAUCGCAGUCCGGUUUUCAUGGAGAACAUUUACAAAACAAACACAAACAUAUAAAUAGUGAUUACCCUGGACAAAACAUACCUACAAAUCCUCUGGCAAAUUUACUUUGUCACUAUAAUUCAGAUAGUGAUACUGAAGACUCAAAGAAAGAUUGCAAAUUAGAUGAUCAAGUUAAUAAUUUUUUUAAAGAAAUCCAACUGAUUGCACCCAAACAACCAGUCUCAAAUGAAUCUAGCAAUGUCGCCUUAACAACAAAUUCUAACACACGCUUAGCACAUUAUACAAAUCAACAAGCACUCAUGUGGAGAGAAUGCUUAGAUGAAUCUUCAGGUUAUCCUUACUAUUGGCACAUUGAGACUAACGAAGUAACCUGGGAAAUGCCAGAUGAAUUACGGUACUUAAAAAACAACAUUAAAACGAGCUCUGUUAUAAAACCACUUUCAAUGCAAGAGUCUCAUUGGGUUGAUUUCUCAUCAGUUACAUAUCAACAAUCCCAUGAAAAUAUACCAGAAGGUAUGAUCCCGCGAGAAGUGGUGGCUCGAAAUCGUAAUAGAUAUAUUUGCAAUGAGACUUUGCAGAAGCCAGAAUCUCAAACUGAUCCAGACACUGCUAACACAUCUGAUACCAUGGAUAACGAUUCUGAUGAUGGGAAAAUAGAAAUGAUCACAUCCUAUGGGAGUGAUGAAAGUGAUUCAGAUACAGUGGAUGAGAAUCGAUCAAAGAACGAUGUAAAAGAAUCAUCGGUGAAAAGCACAAGUACAGCACCAAAAUUGAGAUGCCCUGAAAAACUUUCUACAUCAACUCCUAUAAUCCAACCACAGUUACUGACAAUUUCUCAGAAUCCAAAUCAAAUGUACGAAAACAAAGGUACUAUAGAAGAAUCAAUGGUAGAAUCCGUGGACUCAAAACCAUCCGAUGAUGCAGAGGCUAAGUACUUAAUAAACCAAAUUAAACAAGAUGCUGUUCAAAAGAUAGAUUAUACGGAUAAAAUUAAUAAUGAUAGUCGAUUGAUGAAAGAAUCUGUAACAAAGAAAAGCAGUAAUAAACACAGUGUUGACUCCGAUGUAGACUUCCGCAUUUCUUUAGUGCCUGGUUAUGAUGAAGAUUCAGAUGUUGAAGAAGAAUCUGAAGAUAAACAGGAGAGAAAAGCUCUAUUUCCAAUUCCUCAAACCAAAGAAACCAUGGAGAGUAUGUUAUUAGGUAAAAUUGAUGAUGAUCAAAUAACAGAGAGUAAUGACAAUGAAGAAAUUAAUAGCGAAAGGAAAAACGUACAAGAAGAUAAUGAAGACAUUCUAGAAAGGUUAGAAUACAGAGAUGAUUCAAAUACUAAAACAGAGGAGGAUAUGCAAAAGGGAAACAAAUUUGUCGAUAACGUACAUGGUCGGAAUAAAUUUUUUCAAAGGAAAAAACGUAUUGCAUUUGAUGUUCCAUCUACAAAGAUAAAAACAAAUAAUGAUAAUGAAACGAGUAAACUGGAAGUAGAGACCCAACGCGAGGAAAUGAACUCUUGCGAUGAGCAUCUUAUUGAACCUCAGGUUGAUCAGCAAGAAGAACCAAACACUGCGAACGAGAACGUGGAAGAGAAUGUUUCAACUUGCAAAGAUGAAUCAAAUAGUACUGAAGGAGAAACAAGUACAUCAGAAACGAAUGGUGAAUCCAAAGAAGAUGAAGGGGAGGUUAAUCUACUAUCCCAGAUCAUACUUGAAAAAUUAAAGUUUCUAUCAGAAGGAAAACCAGGUGUAUCGCCAGUUCAAUUGAUGUCUAUUCAGCUACAAACAUUGUUUGUUGCAUGGGAAGCAGGUUGUUUAGAAAAGAAUUACUUGCGUAGAUGGUUGAGUGACACCAGUCACGAAUUGGAACGCUUGGAACAAGAUGCAGCACCACCUGGAUGGCUAUGUCAGUGGGAUAGGUCGCAUAAGCGAUAUUAUUACCAGAACACUGCCACUGGAAUUACACAAUGGACUUAUCCGGAUACUGGCAUCGCCGGUGGAGCUGAAGAAAUGGAAAUUUGUUCCACGCCUCCUCCAGCUGAGCAAGAAGAUAUUAUUAUACCUGCAGAAGAAGAAGGACUAAGAUCAAAGUCAAAGAAAUCAGAAGGUGGAGAGACAACAGAGGACAUGACGAUGCCAAGGAACAGCGACAUAGAAGCUCCGCCUCCACCCCAAAUUUCAAAUCCGAGCCCACCUCCACCCCCAAGAAUAUACGCGGAGGAUUUGAAGAGGGACAAAAGGAAACAAGAUAAGUGCAAUGACAAAUUGGAUGAUAAGAGACCACGACUAGGAGAAGAGGGAGCAGCAGUCGCGGAAAUAAAACAAUUAGAAAAUUCUGUUGCCCCAUCUUCUGCCUUACUGUCGCCUCAGCCUGCCAAUCUUGCAAACGUAACUAGCGCAGAACCCCUGCCACCAGGUGUCGAUUUAACAGAAGCACCUUAUGAGAUACCUGCAACUGCCCUGAAGAGAAUUAUUUAUGGCGCUGUGCAGUCACAAGGUGCUGCGCUCUACGAUGCAACUGCGAGAGAUCCGACAGUUCCUAUUCUAAGUCAUCCAGCGACCAUAGUACAAGAACAUUAUCUUCAAUAUCCAGCAUAUCAUCAACACUUACACGCUCCAGCGGCCUUAGUACUUCCGCAUAAGCACAAUGUGCAGCCUGCAAUUCAGCUAAUACCUGACUACACUCCAAUAUAUACAAAUCAUAAGGUCAUUGAGAAGCCACCAGUUAAAACAGCGAAAGAAUCUUUAGUGUCUGCACUAGAUUCAUUUUACAAUGAUAUUGCGCGAAUAGAGAAUAUCGGAAUGGAGAAAGUUCCUCAGAGACAAGAUACUAUGACGGUGGAACCGUCAUCCUUACCAACAGAGGAAGCCAAAUUAGAAACAGAGCAAGAACCUAUCCCUGUUGAAACUACUGUGAAAGAAAAGAAAAGGAAAAGGACAAGGAUUGGUAUUAGUAAAAAGCAUAAAGAAGUUUCUAGUAUGGUUGCAAAAUGGCAAAAGGUGCAACAGAAUUUCGAAAACACGUAAAUUGCUGCAACUUGCCGAUAUUUAGAUCACUCGAUACAAAUAGCACACUGUACUCCCGCCAGUAUAGUGACCCUGUACCUGCAAUUAACUAUAUUAUUCUCUGCGCUCCAUUUUCUAUUUUUAAAAUUUGACGAACUUACUAUUAAGAAUUUGUAGGUUCUGAAAAAAGAAUAUUGUAAAUUUUGAGGAGUUAUAGAUAUGGUUUUCUUAUCAUUGUGUACAAAGUAUAGGCUGAUCUCUUUUAAUGCUCAUCAACUGUGAGAGAACGAUAUUAUCGCGAUUUAUAAGCAUUUGAAAUAAAAAAAGUAUUGUAAUUUAAUAACAUUCAAUUCCAUUGUCUUCGCGUAUAGGUUUAUAUGUACUAUGCUUUGAAGUAUUUAGGAUUUAUUUAUCCUCAAUUAUCAUGGAAGAAAAGUGUUCUCCCAUGCUAUACAAUUUAAAAACCAAAUAUUUCAGUGCUACGUUCUCAAAAGCUACCUCUUAUCACAGGUGUAGAGUUAAUUACCUAUUUUUCAAAACAACAAAAAGAGGCUUCUACUUGUUUGUUUAAGGUUAUGUAACUUCGUUUGAAUGCAAGUUGAGGAGAUAGUGUUAUGAUCAUAUUUAGGAAUAUAACAUCAGUUCGAAAUGCCUAGAAGACAAUAAAUACGAAGCUAAUAAUUGCGUAAUGCAAUUUGAAAAUUACAAGCUCUAAAGAAGUAAUGAUCAAUAGGAAGAUGCGAGGUAUAAAACCGCACCUCCCUUUACCCGAAGAAAGAGAAAAAAUAAAAGAAGAGUACCUACAAUCUCGCAAAAAAUAGUAAAGUUUUUUAUGGGUGUUAGGUUUUAUAUAUAAUUUUAUAGCUACUUUAUAAACGUUAUUUAUAUCUACAAAAUCAUUUUUAUCAUAAUCUUGAAAUAUAUAAGAGAUGUAUUCCUAAAAUAGAUAACUCUUUGUUCAUUUCUAUAAUUACAUGGAUUAUAUGUAAAAGUAAAGUAAAUGCAAAACAGUC